GCUAUAUGAGCCCCAGGCAUGCUAUCAGAGAGCUCCUUGUGCUUGGGCUGCUCCUUGGGCCUUGGAGAGAUGAAGUCCCCAUGGUGUGGAGUGGUGCAAAAAGGUAAGAGGGUUGUCAGCCGGGUCAGUUUCCUUCACCAAUGCUAAGGCAAGUCUUUAAAGAGAAACAGCCUGGUUGCUUGUGCUGCACCCUGUUGAACUAAGCCAGACCAAAAACAGGGCUGCUGUUCCUCCUGCUCUCUUUACCUCUUCUCAUCUUGCAGAGGAAUGGUCCAGCAAUUCGGGUUAAUAGGGGACAAGAGAACAAAGGGGUUUCAGAAUAACUGCUAACUGUUAUGACUAUUGCAUGGGGCACUAUGCAAGUCUCUGACAUCCAGCCAAGAUGGACAAAGGAGAAGGACAAGGGAAAAGCCUGGGAGGAAGACUGUGAGCCUUCGGUACGAGAGACCCGCAGAGGGACCACCAGAGACUGAUAACACAUGCGCCAGUGGGCGGGUUCGGAUUCCAGGAACUAGUUAUAAUAACCCUGCCUUUUCUAGAAGUAGUAAUGAAUAUGUAUUAGCCUAGGAGCAUAAAAACCAGCCGCCUGC
Anas platyrhynchos (mallard) is the source of this 590-nucleotide non-coding RNA. The record is from RefSeq and is a predicted model, not a curated record. NCBI's taxonomy places the organism in Eukaryota, Metazoa, Chordata, Aves, Anseriformes, Anatidae.